This is a long non-coding RNA of Daphnia pulex (common water flea), 729 nucleotides long. RefSeq lists it as uncharacterized. The transcript is spliced from 4 exons. The record is from RefSeq and is a predicted model, not a curated record. Lineage: Eukaryota; Metazoa; Arthropoda; Branchiopoda; Diplostraca; Daphniidae.
GAUGGCCGCCACUUUUCGAACCCCUACCCUUUUUCUUGAGAAGGCCGAUCAGUUGGUCCCUGAGCCUCUGCCUGUACGGUUGUCCCAAAAUGUCGUCUCUGUGACAUCGAAAUAGUUUACUCGUUUGCUUAUUCAGUCAGUUAUUUAGAUUUUUUUUUGUGCUGGACUAUUAAAAAUGCGUUUCCUGAAUUAUUGCUGCCAUCCAGGUUUAGUUUUGUUUCGUUAUUUUAAAGUUCUAGUUGGCUUUCAAAAUACCUGACGGAGAAGAAAGUCGGAUCGAUCCUGCUCGGCAACAACACAGUGUCAAGUUAGUUUCUUGAAAGAUGGAUCAACCCUGCGUUUUUGUUUUCAUUUUCUGAUCCUUCCUGGAGACUCUGUACAACAUCAUCUGGCAUCUUUGGGCUAAAUCUGAGUGGAAAUUUGCACUGUGGUCCACCUGUGCUGGAAAUCCUGUGUGUCUGUUUGCUCCUUUUCUAACGUGAUCUAUUUGUGCAACAUCUGCAUGUUUUGUUUCUUUUAGGAUGUGGAGCGCAAUAACACGCAGCCAGAAGUAGCAAUGGACCUUUUCGUGAGGAUUAAGUGGAACGCACGAACUUCUACGUCCCAGGAUGUCGUUUACAGCGCUACUCCACAACUACAGUAACAAGUUAUUUAGAUUUCAUUAAUUAUGAAAGGGUAAUGAGGAUCAGAAACCGUUUGUUUGCAUCAAUAGCAUCAUUUUUAGUUUCA